This 21-nucleotide microRNA is filed under the name Drosophila virilis. RNAcentral's name for it is "dvi-miR-286-5p". Its record names the gene dvi-miR-286-5p. Lineage: Eukaryota; Metazoa; Arthropoda; Insecta; Diptera; Drosophilidae. The record is from miRBase by way of RNAcentral.
GGCGAUUGUCGGUAUGGUCGC